RNAcentral lists this ribosomal RNA (253 nucleotides) under uncultured Bdellovibrio sp. RNAcentral describes it as "partial 16S ribosomal RNA". It matches the Rfam family "Bacterial small subunit ribosomal RNA", at positions 524 to 776 of the family's 1533-position model. The record is from RNAcentral. Lineage: Bacteria; Pseudomonadati; Bdellovibrionota; Bdellovibrionia; Bdellovibrionales; Pseudobdellovibrionaceae.
GACGAGGGGUCCUAGCGUUGUUCGGAAUCAUUGGGCGUAAAGCGGGUGUAGGUGGCUUUGUAAGUCAGGAGUGAAAUCCCCGAGCUUAACUUGGGAAGUGCUUUUGAAACUGCAAAGCUUGAAUGUGGGAGAGGAUCGUGGAAUUCCAGGUGUAGUGGUGAAAUACGUAGAUAUCUGGAGGAACACCGGUGGCGAAGGCGGCGAUCUGGCCCAACAUUGACACUGAGACCCGAAAGCGUGGGGAUCAAACAGG